GUAAAUAAUGAUGUAUUUGCAUUCUUUUUCUAGUGAUCAAUGAAAUCUGGACGAGGUCCCAAGGAUGUAGGAAACGAACCCCGGUAACAAACUCAGUGUAUCUUUUACUUUUUGCUUUAUAUUUCUGACUUAUCCGCACUUACAGUAAGGUGUCCAAUACAAGCGGCCCUCGGUAAAAUCAUCCUGAUUCAGAUUCAUGUGAGUAUAUCAUAGCUCUGAGCCUCUGAAGUUUCAGUUUCUACUGAAUUACAACGCAUACAUUUCACAAAUACACUGGUUCUCAACUUGGGGUCCACAAUGCGUCACAAAAUACAAACUUGGUUCAGACCGCAUCAUGCCACAUUGAGAA
This 349-nucleotide long non-coding RNA is filed under the name Brassica napus (rape). Its description in RNAcentral is "long non-coding RNA (BNAP_LNC014535)". Lineage: Eukaryota; Viridiplantae; Streptophyta; Magnoliopsida; Brassicales; Brassicaceae. The record is from RNAcentral.